GAUGAAGAACGCAGCGAAAUGCGAUACGUAAUGUGAAUUGCAGAAUUCAGUGAAUCAUCGAGUCUUUGAACGCACAUUGCGCCCCAUGGUAUUCCGUGGGGCAUGCCUGUUCGAGCGUCAUUUACCCCCUCAAGCUCCGCUUGGUGUUGGGCGUCUGUCCCGCUUCGCGCGCGGACUCGCCCCAAAGGUAUUGGCAGCGGUCGUGCCAGCUUCUCGCGCAGCACAUUGCGCUUCUCGAGGCACCGGUGGGCCCGCGUCCAUCAAGCUCACCCCCCCAGUUUGACCUCGGAUCAGGUAGGGAUACCCGCUGAACUUAAGCAUAUCAAUAAGCGGAGGA
Molecule: unclassified non-coding RNA, 337 nt
Filed under: soil metagenome
Description: partial contains 5.8S ribosomal RNA, internal transcribed spacer 2, and large subunit ribosomal RNA
Rfam family: 5.8S ribosomal RNA (bases 1-120)
Source: RNAcentral